This 253-nucleotide ribosomal RNA is filed under the name Enterobacter asburiae. Its description in RNAcentral is "partial 16S ribosomal RNA". It matches the Rfam family "Bacterial small subunit ribosomal RNA", at positions 1 to 250 of the family's 1533-position model. Lineage: Bacteria; Pseudomonadati; Pseudomonadota; Gammaproteobacteria; Enterobacterales; Enterobacteriaceae. The record is from RNAcentral. RNAcentral also lists the same sequence under 1 other name.
AAAUUGAAGAGUUUGAUCAUGGCUCAGAUUGAACGCUGGCGGCAGGCCUAACACAUGCAAGUCGAGCGGCAGCGGAAAGUAGCUUGCUACUUUGCCGGCGAGCGGCGGACGGGUGAGUAAUGUCUGGGAAACUGCCUGAUGGAGGGGGAUAACUACUGGAAACGGUAGCUAAUACCGCAUAACGUCGCAAGACCAAAGAGGGGGACCUUCGGGCCUCUUGCCAUCAGAUGUGCCCAGAUGGGAUUAGCUAGUA